AGGACGAACGCUGGCGGCGUGCCUAAUACAUGCAAGUCGAACGGUCUUUUCUAUGGAAGCUUGCUUCCACUGAGAAGAUAGUGGCGAACGGGUGAGUAACACGUGGGUAACCUGCCCAUAAGAGGGGGGAUAACAUCCGGAAACGGGUGCUAAUACCGCAUAGUUUUCUUGAUCGCAUGAUCGGGAAAGGAAAGACGGCCUUUGUGCUGUCGCUUAUGGAUGGACCCGCGGCGUAUUAGUUAGUUGGUGAGGUAACGGCUCACCAAGACGAUGAUACGUAGCCGACCUGAGAGGGUGAUCGGCCACAUUGGGACUGAGACACGGCCCAAACUCCUACGGGAGGCAGCAGUAGGGAAUCUUCCGCAAUGGACGAAAGUCUGACGGAGCAACGCCGCGUGAGUGAAAGAAGGUUUUCGGAUCGUAAAACUCUGUUGUCAGAGAAGAACAAGUUGGAGAGUAACUGCUCCAGCCUUGACGGUAUCUGACCAGAAAGCCACGGCUAACUACGUGCCAGCCGCCGC
Molecule: ribosomal RNA, 521 nt
Filed under: uncultured bacterium
Lineage: Bacteria
Description: bacterial SSU rRNA
Rfam family: Bacterial small subunit ribosomal RNA
Source: RNAcentral